CACGAGGCUGAAGUAGAAGAGCAGCCGGAAGAAGAAGCCCCACGCCGCCGUGACGAGGAGGCACUCCCACUUGCCGAGCUGCGUCACCGCCGCCUCCCGGAGCACGUUGUGCCCGGUCAUCACGCAGGUGUUGGGGCCGAUCUUGACGCCGAGCGCCGUGCCGAUGGACGCCAGCACCCUCGUCUUCACCGUGUCCGGCAGCACGGCCAGCGGCGAGUUGUCGAACAUCUGCGUGCCACGGACGUAGCACUCGCCGCCGCGGCCGAACUCGUUCUGGAGCACGCCCUCGAACGGGUACUUGACGAGCGAGAGGUAGUGGAACCAUAUCCAGUAGUCCGGUAUCCUGUCCCGGUUGAUGAAGAAGCCGCUGAAGAGGAGGAAGUAGGCGAGGAUGGCGACGACGACGGUGUAGCCGAUCAUGACGUGCGGUAUGACGCCGGAGAGGAACGUGACGAACCCGCUGCCGGCCCAGAAGGAGGCGAGGAUGGCGAGGGUGUAGAAGGCGAACCCGGACACGCCGCCGGCGAGGCCGACGGCGAAGAAUGUGGUGAAGGCGAAGGCGAGGGAGAGCACGACGAGCGGCGGGAAGGAGACGAUGGCGUUGGAGAGCACGUAGGAGGUGCGGCGGUACGCGCCGUAGGCGGUCUCCCGGAGGAAGAUGUAGCGCUCGUGCAGGAACACCGGGAGCGCGUCGGCGCAGGUGUAGAACAUGGUGGACAUGGCGAAGGCGAAGAAGCCGAGCCGCUCCUGCGCGCCCUUGGGCGACUGGUCGAGCUUGUAGAACACGGUGGCGAGGAUCGCGCCGGUGAUCACCACGGCGCCGAGCCUGAUGAGGAACAGCUCCGGCAUGCGCCGCGUGUUGAUCGCCGACCGCUUCGCCAGCACCUUCAUCUCCACCCAGAACGGGUGUGCAUCGACGCCGCCUCGCCGGCCACGUCCGAGCCGGACACCAGCUUCCCGCGCGAGAUGCUCGCGCUGAUGGCCUCCUUCAGCGACAUGCUGACGAGCUGUCCGGUUCCCGCCGGCAACGACUCGAACUCGCGGAUCAGGUCGAGCGCGAACUCGGCGCGGUUCUCGUCGUCGGGCACCGGGUACCCGAACUCGGCGAAGUAG
This 1113-nucleotide long non-coding RNA is filed under the name Oryza sativa Indica Group (long-grained rice). RNAcentral describes it as "lncRNA OsPr106_01g0038360". The record is from RNAcentral. Lineage: Eukaryota; Viridiplantae; Streptophyta; Magnoliopsida; Poales; Poaceae.